This 394-nucleotide ribosomal RNA is filed under the name Diptera environmental sample. Its description in RNAcentral is "eukaryotic LSU rRNA". The stretch from base 339 to 394 matches the Rfam family "Eukaryotic large subunit ribosomal RNA", at positions 1 to 56 of the family's 3401-position model. The record is from RNAcentral. Lineage: Eukaryota; Metazoa; Arthropoda; Insecta; Diptera.
UGAUGUGUACGUGAAUCAUCGAAUCUUUGAACGCAACUUGCACUCACCCACAAGUGAGUAUGCCUGUUUGAGUACCUACAACCAUACCUUCAACCGAGUUUGGGUUGAAAUGUGGGCGAUUCAGGUGCACCACCCCUCCCUAACUAACAAGGGGGAGGGAUGCGCGCCUGAUUGCCUCAAAGACAUGACCGGCCCAGCUGCACAUUUGGUGGUGAAGCGUGGCCAAGGUGAAUGAAGGGUGCGCCCACGUCCCUUGGGUCAGCGCGAGUAGUCCGUCAGCCUGGGGCCGGGAGGAAGCCUCUCCGGGGGCCUAGAUUGCCCAAGGCAAUUUGAACCUCAGGUCUCAAAUCAGGUAGGAAGACCCGCUGAACUUAAGCAUAUCAAUAAGCGGAGG